This 786-nucleotide ribosomal RNA is filed under the name uncultured archaeon. RNAcentral's name for it is "bacterial SSU rRNA". It matches the Rfam family "Archaeal small subunit ribosomal RNA", at positions 85 to 878 of the family's 1478-position model. The record is from RNAcentral.
ACUGCUCAGUAACACGUAGCUAAUCUACCCUUAAGUCAGGGAUACCCUCGGGAAACUGAGGUUGAUACCUGAUAGAAAAUAAUUUCUGGAAUGAGUUAUUUUUCAAACUUGAGCUUAAGGACGAGGCUGCGGCUGAUUAGGUAGUUGUUGGUGUAAAGGACUAACAAGCCAAUGAUCAGUAAGGGCUCUUAGCGGAGAGGCCCUGAGAAGGAAUCUUAGACACUAUUCCUAGCCUUACGGGGUGCAGCAGUCGAGGAAAUUUUACAAUGCUCGAAAGAGUGAUAAAAUGAGUCAGAGUGUUUUCUUUUAGAAAACUUUUGUCAGUUGCAAAAAGACUGGCGAAUAAGGACUGGGCAAGACCGGUGCCAGCCGCCGCGGUAAUCCCGGCGGUCCAAGUCGCAUCCACAAUUAUUGGGUCUAAAACAUUCGUAGCUUGUUUUGUAAGUCUCUUGUGAAAUCUGGCAUCUUAAGUGUCAGGCGUGCAAGAGAUACUGCAUUGCUAGAGACCGGAAGACGCAAAGAGUAUGAUUGAGGUAAUGGUAAAAUAUGUUAAUCUUAAUCAGACUAACAAUUGCGAAGGCACUUUGCGAGUACGGAUCUGACAGUAAGGAAUGAAGGCUAGGGGCGCAAAAGGGAUUAGAUACCCCUGUAGUCCUAGCAGUAAACACUGCUCACUAAACAUUAGUGCCUCCUCGAGAGGCAUUAGUGCUGUAGAGAAGUCGAAGAGUGAGCUACCUGGGAAGUAUAGUCGCAAGACCGAAACUUAAAGGAAUUGGCGGGGGAGCA